This 393-nucleotide transfer-messenger RNA is filed under the name Porticoccaceae. RNAcentral's name for it is "TMED48 sp002591625 Standard tmRNA". It matches the Rfam family "transfer-messenger RNA". Rfam says of the family: Bacterial tmRNA, also known as 10Sa RNA or SsrA, is named for its dual tRNA and mRNA-like properties. Its role is to liberate the mRNA from a stalled ribosome. The record is from RNAcentral. Lineage: Bacteria; Pseudomonadati; Pseudomonadota; Gammaproteobacteria; Cellvibrionales.
GGGGGCGUUCUGGAUUCGACGCCGGUUACAAAACCUGUAGUGCAUGCCGAGAUGGUGACCAAUCUCGUUAAUCCAAAGUCACAACCUUAUAGUUGCCAACGACGACAACUACGCACUAGCUGCUUAAAAACCAGUGUAGUGCCGUCUGACUGGAGCCGUGCUUAUGCGUCCAGAGUUUGAAGUCCUCUGGGAUUGAUAACAUUCAGGCGUCAUAUUUCAUAAGAUCGUAAUGAAACUUGUUCGGGGUCGAUUUACUAAACACUAACCGAAAUCGCUGGUGGCAUUUCCUGACAGUCGGGUUGCAAACGGUUAAAUUUAAUAGACUGCUCUAAGCAUGUAGAGCUAUUGGCAGAGGACUGACGGACGCGGGUUCAAUUCCCGCCGCCUCCACCA